UACGGAGGGUGCAAGCGUUAUCCGGAUUCACUGGGUUUAAAGGGUGCGUAGGCGGGUAAUUAAGUCAGUGGUGAAAUCCCGGAGCUAAACUUCGGAACUGCCAUUGAUACUAUUUAUCUUGAAUAUUGAGGAGGUAUGCGGAAUAUGUCAUGUAGCGGUGAAAUGCUUAGAUAUGACAUAGAACACCGAUUGCGAAGGCAGCAUACUACGGAAAUAUUGACGCUGAGGCACGAAAGCGUGGGGAUCAAACAGG
Molecule: ribosomal RNA, 253 nt
Filed under: uncultured bacterium
Lineage: Bacteria
Description: partial 16S ribosomal RNA
Rfam family: Bacterial small subunit ribosomal RNA
Source: RNAcentral